UGGGGCGUCGUCAAGUGGCAAGACUCGGGAUUUUGGGUCCCGCAUCGGAGGUUCGAAUCCUCCCGCCCCAG
This 71-nucleotide transfer RNA is filed under the name bacterium. Its description in RNAcentral is "tRNA-Gln". It matches the Rfam family "tRNA". From Rfam's summary of the family: Transfer RNA (tRNA) molecules are approximately 80 nucleotides in length. RNAcentral also lists the same sequence under 1 other name. The record is from RNAcentral.